This 228-nucleotide ribosomal RNA is filed under the name uncultured bacterium. RNAcentral describes it as "partial 16S ribosomal RNA". It matches the Rfam family "Bacterial small subunit ribosomal RNA", at positions 111 to 334 of the family's 1533-position model. The record is from RNAcentral.
UAACGCGUAGGUAACCUGCCUUGUAGCGGGGGAUAACUAUUGGAAACGAUAGCUAAUACCGCAUAACAAUGGAUGACUCAUGUCAUUUAUUUGAAAGGGGCAAAUGCUCCACUACAAGAUGGACCUGCGUUGUAUUAGCUAGUAGGUGAGGUAACGGCUCACCUAGGCGACGAUACAUAGCCGACCUGAGAGGGUGAUCGGCCACACUGGGACUGAGACACGGCCCAG